Molecule: non-coding RNA, 77 nt
Organism: Potamilus streckersoni
Lineage: Eukaryota; Metazoa; Mollusca; Bivalvia; Unionida; Unionidae
Source: the annotation of a GenBank genome assembly
GACUGCUCUGGUGGCCUAGUGGUUAUGGUGUCCACCUUGGAUGCAGGAAUUUGUGGGUUCAAACCCUGGCCAUGUCA